Molecule: ribosomal RNA, 463 nt
Filed under: uncultured bacterium
Lineage: Bacteria
Description: partial 16S ribosomal RNA
Rfam family: Bacterial small subunit ribosomal RNA
Source: RNAcentral
GAUGAACGCUGACAGAAUGCUUAACACAUGCAAGUCUUUGGCGAAGCUGUGCUUGCACAGCCUAGCCAAGGCGGACGGGUGAGUAACGCGUAAGGAACUUGCCCUGCAGUCAGGGAUAACAGACGGAAACGACUGAUAAGACCUGGAAAAGUCAGGCGGACUCAUGUCCAGCCUGAUGAAAAGAGAUGCUGCAGGAGAGCCUUGCGUCCUAUUAGCUUGUUGGUGGGGUAACGGCCCACCAAGGCGAUGAUAGGUAGCCGGCCUGAGAGGGUGGACGGCCACAAGGGGACUGAGAUACGGCCCUUACUCCUACGGGAGGCAGCAGUGGGGAAUAUUGGACAAUGGGGGCAACCCUGAUCCAGCAAUUCUGUGUGCACGAUGAAGGUUUUCGGAUUGUAAAGUGCUUUCAGCAGGGAAGAAAAAAAUGACGGUACCUGCAGAAGAAGCGACGGCUAAAUACGUG